Molecule: transfer RNA, 69 nt
Filed under: Hydrophilidae sp. BMNH 1274734
Lineage: Eukaryota; Metazoa; Arthropoda; Insecta; Coleoptera; Hydrophilidae
Description: tRNA-Trp
Source: RNAcentral
AAGGAUUUAAGUUAAAUUAAACUUGGAGCCUUCAAAGCCCCCCAUAAAGCAAUUCGUCUUUAAGCCUUA